CGGGCCGUGGCGCAGCCUGGUAGCGCACCUGAAUGGGGUUCAGGGGGUCGCGAGUUCGAAUCUCGCCGGCCCGACCA
This 77-nucleotide transfer RNA is filed under the name Deltaproteobacteria bacterium. RNAcentral describes it as "tRNA-Pro". It matches the Rfam family "tRNA". From Rfam's summary of the family: Transfer RNA (tRNA) molecules are approximately 80 nucleotides in length. Their secondary structure includes four short double-helical elements and three loops (D, anti-codon, and T loops). Further hydrogen bonds mediate the characteristic L-shaped molecular structure. tRNAs have two regions of fundamental functional importance: the anti-codon, which is responsible for specific mRNA codon recognition, and the 3' end, to which the tRNAs corresponding amino acid is attached (by aminoacyl-tRNA synthetases). tRNAs cope with the degeneracy of the genetic code in two manners: having more than one tRNA (with a specific anti-codon) for a particular amino acid; and 'wobble' base-pairing, i.e. permitting non-standard base-pairing at the 3rd anti-codon position. RNAcentral also lists the same sequence under 1 other name. Lineage: Bacteria; Pseudomonadati; Myxococcota; Myxococcia. The record is from RNAcentral.